RNAcentral lists this long non-coding RNA (413 nucleotides) under Gallus gallus (chicken). The record is from RNAcentral. Lineage: Eukaryota; Metazoa; Chordata; Aves; Galliformes; Phasianidae.
ACUCUGCCUUAAAGCAUCAACCAAAGAAAAGUCACACGAUGGGUUGUGCUUCUGUUUAAGUGCUUUAAUUGCAGUGGCUGGCUGUGUGGUAACUGUUGAGCGAUGGCCUGAACCACUGAUUGAGCACCUGGGGAAAGGACCUGGUCAGCCCUGGGAGCACAGGUGAAGGCAAUUCAGCUGUGUGACUGGAAGGGGUGGAGCCUGGCUGCACCUCUCAGACCCCCCAUUUAAGGGCUGACUGCCACCAAGGUGUAGUUUUUCCCUGUAAACCUGGUGUCUUCUGGUACAGGUGAGGAAUCUUUUUCUUUUAUAGCACUUUUCUUUUGUGCUAGUUCUUCCAUUGUCCCACCUCUGUUGUAACUCUUUUCUUGUUCGUCUAAUUGUUAUAUUGGCUUUUGGGCGGUGGAGUUGAA